UAAAAUUUAAGUUCGUAACAAACUAUGACACUUAAAAUUCUGAUGACUUCCUCUACAAGUUUAUUUAGUACGGCCAAUUACAUAAUUUACCUUAAUUCUAUCAAUCAAAAUAUUUAAUCGAUCCUACUUAUAUUUUUUACCAAGAUUUUUGAUAAUCUACAUUGAUUACAAUAUAUUCUAUCAUAACUUAUUUUAACCUACAUUGACUAUAAACCUCUCC
This 220-nucleotide long non-coding RNA is filed under the name Brassica napus (rape). RNAcentral's name for it is "long non-coding RNA (BNAP_LNC000879)". The record is from RNAcentral. Lineage: Eukaryota; Viridiplantae; Streptophyta; Magnoliopsida; Brassicales; Brassicaceae.